Molecule: long non-coding RNA, 184 nt
Filed under: Fukomys damarensis (Damara mole-rat)
Lineage: Eukaryota; Metazoa; Chordata; Mammalia; Rodentia; Bathyergidae
Description: lncRNA (ENSFDAG00000025655.1)
Source: RNAcentral
UAGAAACUGGAUUAUCAAUAGCGAAGAGACUGGAGAAGCAGAAUGAGACCAAGAGCAUCUGCUGCAGCCACUAAAGGCUGAGAUAUCGCUCAGGGGAGAUCUCUGACAAUUUUUUACCAGCCCCUAUUUCCUUAUUAUCACCAGCAGCUUCCUGAGAAGUCUGGGUCCAGAAGAAAGAAAAGGU